Sarcophilus harrisii (Tasmanian devil) is the source of this 394-nucleotide long non-coding RNA. RefSeq lists it as uncharacterized. The transcript is spliced from 2 exons. The record is from RefSeq and is a predicted model, not a curated record. NCBI's taxonomy places the organism in Eukaryota, Metazoa, Chordata, Mammalia, Dasyuromorphia, Dasyuridae.
UUUACUCAGGCUCCUGGAAUUGGUUCUGAGAAGAAAGGAAUAGAAGAGGAGGUGAAAGUUCUUACCUCUAGCCACUCCAGGAAACUUGCAAUUUCCUGGCCAACUUGCCGAGUGUUUCUGACAGCAAUAGCAUAGUGUCGGUGUGCCAAGGUGAUCCAGUCAGCAACAAUCACAUUCACUUGAGUGGAUUUCUGAGACUUGAGUGCUGCUGCCAUUUCCCAAAUCCAUUUCUCCAGCAUGCCAUCCACCUGUGGGAAGGGGAAACUGAGCAAAAUGAGUCCAUUGAGGAACAUUUGAGAAGAUGCAUCCAGUACUGGAAAGAGCUGCCAGAUGGCAACAUCUUCUGCUUGGGUGGUCUAAAUCAAUGCCAGAAGAUAGAAGGAACGUUGACAAA